GACGAACGCUGGCGGCGUGCUUAACACAUGCAAGUCGAACGGAAAGGCCCCUUUGGGGGUCCUCGAGUGGCGAACGGGUGAGUAACACGUGAGUAACCUGCCCUUGACUUCGGGAUAACUUCAGGAAACUGGGGCUAAUACCGGAUAGGAAUCCUUGCUGCAUGGUGGGGGUUGGAAAGCUUCGGCGGUUUUGGAUGGACUCGCGGCUUAUCAGCUUGUUGGUGGGGUAGUGGCUUACCAAGGCUUUGACGGGUAGCCGGCCUGAGAGGGCGACCGGCCACAUUAGGACUGAGAUACGGCCCAGACUCCUACGGGAGGCAGCAGUGGGGAAUAUUGCACAAUGGGCGGAAGCCUGAUGCAGCAACGCCGCGUGCGGGAUGACGGCCUUCGGGUUGUAAACCGCUUUCAGCAGGGGCGAAGCUUGUGGUGACGGUACCUGCAGAAGAAGCACCGGCUAACUACGUG
Molecule: ribosomal RNA, 465 nt
Filed under: uncultured bacterium
Lineage: Bacteria
Description: partial 16S ribosomal RNA
Rfam family: Bacterial small subunit ribosomal RNA
Source: RNAcentral